Molecule: ribosomal RNA, 104 nt
Filed under: uncultured bacterium
Lineage: Bacteria
Description: partial 16S ribosomal RNA
Rfam family: Bacterial small subunit ribosomal RNA
Source: RNAcentral
CCUUGUACACACCGCCCGUCACGUCAUGGGAGUCGGUUCUACCUUAAGACGGUGCGCCAACCGCAAGGAGGCAGCCGGCCACGGUAGGAUCGGCGACUGGGACG